CCGAGGGGAAGGAGCGCGGGGGCAGCGCUGCGGAGUGCUGGGGGCGGCCCCCGCUGUGGUGCGGUGCGGUGCGGGGCGAGCGGACGCAGCCCCCUCCCCACCCGGAGCGGCGCGGCACAGCGCGGUCCGGCACGGCACGGCACGGCGGGAGGUUGUCGGGCGCGGGGGGAGGACUUGAGGCUGGCAAGGUGAGAGCUCGGAUUGCCGGAGUGCCGGGAGGAAGCUGCCAUUUGUGAGCUGUGAGUGACGAGCGUAACAAUCUGAUAGUUUAUAUGAAGAAGGAACUGACCCCUGAAGUGAAGAGACAGAACAGUGGACUGAAAACUCACCAGAAACAGUGACCAUUUUACACCUCAGCAAGUUUCUGCUUUAGGUCUUUUCUGGUAUUAAGCAUAUCUAUACACUUCAGAAGAUAAAAUGAUGCAGACAUGUGCUUCACUUUUUUCGGGUAAACAAGCAAGACUCUGGACACGGUGCUCUCAUAACCAAAUGUGCACAGUAUGCAAAACAAAUUGGACAAAAGGGAAAGGAAUUGCAACAACGCAAAAUAAUGGGCAUGCAUCUAGGAUCUUCGGAAGGCACCUUUCCUUUUUUCUGAAGGUAAUUUCAGCACCACUAAUGGACACUUAUUGUUCAUCAGCUGGAGGAAAGAUGGGAAGGCGGAAGGGAACAAAUGAUCAUUGUGGGAUAACCAACACAGAAGACAGAAGGAGUACCAGCAGGGGUGACAUGGAGCUAAAGCCACACAGAGAAGCAACCAGUAUGUCCAAAACAUCUUGGCAAAGCUGAUGUAUUCCCAGCAUAUGAGGAGAUUGCAGUACAAGUUCCUAUGACAAUAUAUUGCAGACUGUGUGCUGGGAAAGCACCUCAAUUAGGGAAAAUUUCCCUGUGGAAGGAGAAAUGCAUAAGCAGAAACUGGUGAACUAAAGAGAUGUCGUUAAGGUUAGCAGUGGGAUUUUUUUGAGACAGUGUUUGUUUUUUUCUGGUGUGAUAGUGGGUCACCAAAACAACCUGUGGGGCUGCUGAGGUAUAGUUUUGAAGGUAAAGUGAUGUGAGAUUUAUUGCCAGGCUGCCAAAUUCUUGUGACAUCUUUCAGGGCUGAUGGGAAUUCAAAGUGUACUCGGUGCUUUUAUUGGGCUGAAAGAUACACUGCAGAAAAUAAUAAUUGGCAUAAAACACUGUUCCAUUCCAUUGAAAUUUCUCUGCCUUUGCUAAUGUUUGCUUAAUGUGUACUAGCGCAGUACAUGCAUUGUAGAAUAACCAUUACUUCAAUUAUGAGACAUAAUAGGAAGUCACUAAAAGAUUUUUUAAUGGUAUUUUAUGUUAGUGUUUAGAUAAAUUAAGAACUAGUGCUUUUUCAGUUACUUUUUGCACAACAGACUAAAUUGCAAUAAGAAGGUAACUGAUUAAAGCAGGCUGAUGGUCUGUUGAUUUUGCCAUGCAAAACCCUUCUUUCACACAUUGCCUGUUGGAAACAAUAUUCAACUUGGAGAGAGCAGGAAGAAGCUAGAUACAGGAAAGCAGAGGCAAGGUUUUCAGUUAUUUGCCUUAGUCCACAUUCACAAUUCUUUACAUUCCUGCAAAGCUGCUUUUCAGGUUCUUUAGGUAGCUGGAGAAGUUUAUUCUCUGGCUGUCCAGUAUUGAACUGCACUAACACUGAGAUUGGGGCUGAACCUAAUUGAGAUAGUGGCUGUGAUCCAGAAGGAAAAAGUUUUCCAUACGAAAUCCUUGUAGAGUCUUCAGCAAGAGGAAUGAAAACAACAGUAUACCUCAGUACCAGCCUGGAUAA
Molecule: long non-coding RNA, 1789 nt
Filed under: Numida meleagris (helmeted guineafowl)
Lineage: Eukaryota; Metazoa; Chordata; Aves; Galliformes; Numididae
Description: lncRNA (ENSNMEG00000005757.1)
Source: RNAcentral